RNAcentral lists this ribosomal RNA (456 nucleotides) under uncultured bacterium. Its description in RNAcentral is "bacterial SSU rRNA". It matches the Rfam family "Bacterial small subunit ribosomal RNA", at positions 29 to 520 of the family's 1533-position model. The record is from RNAcentral.
AGCGAACGCUAGCGGCGGGCUUAACACAUGCAAGUCGAGCGCUUCACUUCGGUGAAGAGCGGCGGACGGGUGAGUAACACGUAGGUUACCUGCCCCUGGGUGAGGGACAACCGAGGGAAACCUCGGCUAAUACCACAUAUGGUCUACGGAUCAGAGGCUUCGGCCGCCCGGGGAUGGGCCUGCGUCCCAUUAUUUAAUCCUAGUUGGCGGGGUAACGGCCCACCAAGGGUACGAUGGGUAGCUGGUCUGAGAGGAUGAUCAGCCACACUGGAACUGAGACACGGUCCAGACUCCUACGGGAGGCAGCAGUGGGGAAUAUUGCGCAAUGGGCGAAAGCCUGACGCAGCCACGCCGCGUGAGUGAUGAAGGCCCCAGGGUCGUAAAGCUCUGUCGGGGGGAGGAAGUACUUGACGGUACCCCGAACCAAAGACGCCGACCGUACUACCGUCGCGACGA